Molecule: ribosomal RNA, 495 nt
Filed under: uncultured bacterium
Lineage: Bacteria
Description: partial 16S ribosomal RNA
Rfam family: Bacterial small subunit ribosomal RNA
Source: RNAcentral
GACGAACGCUGGCGGCGUGCCUAAUACAUGCAAGUAGAACGCUGAGGGAGGAGCUUGCUUCUCUGGAUGAGUUGCGAACGGGUGAGUAACGCGUAGGUAACCUGCCUGGUAGCGGGGGAUAACUAUUGGAAACGAUAGCUAAUACCGCAUAAGAGUAGAUGUUGCAUGACAUUUGCUUAAAAGGUGCAAUUGCAUCACUACCAGAUGGACCUGCGUUGUAUUAGCUAGUUGGUGGGGUAACGGCUCACCAAGGCGACGAUACAUAGCCGACCUGAGAGGGGAAUCGGCCACACUGGGACUGAGACACGGCCCAGACGCCUACGGGAGGCAGCAGUAGGGAAUCUUCGGCGAUGGACGGAAGUCUGACCGAGCAACGCCGCGUGAGUGAAGAAGGUUUUCGGAUCGUAAAGCUCUGUUGUAAGAGAAGAACGAGUGUGAGAGUGGAAAGUUCACACUGUGACGGUAUCUUACCAGAAAGGGACGGCUAACUACGUG